RNAcentral lists this ribosomal RNA (253 nucleotides) under uncultured bacterium. RNAcentral describes it as "partial 16S ribosomal RNA". It matches the Rfam family "Bacterial small subunit ribosomal RNA", at positions 524 to 776 of the family's 1533-position model. The record is from RNAcentral.
UCCGUAGGGCGCAAGCGUUAUCCGGAAUUAUUGGGCGUAAAGAGCUCGUAGGCGGUUUGUCGCGUCUGCCGUGAAAGUCCGGGGCUCAACUCCGGAUCUGCGGUGGGUACGGGCAGACUAGAGUGCAGUAGGGGAGACUGGAAUUCCUGGUGUAGCGGUGAAAUGCGCAGAUAUCAGGAGGAACACCGAUGGCGAAGGCAGGUCUCUGGGCUGUAACUGACGCUGAGGAGCGAAAGCAUGGGGAGCGAACAGG